GGCGGCAGGCUUAACACAUGCAAGUCGAGCGGGGAGAUGUAGCUUGCUACAUUUCCUAGCGGCGGACGGGUGAGUAAUGCUUAGGAAUCUGCCUAUUAGUGGGGGACAACAUUCCGAAAGGAAUGCUAAUACCGCAUACGCCCUACGGGGGAAAGCAGGGGAUCUUCGGACCUUGCGCUAAUAGAUGAGCCUAAGUCAGAUUAGCUAGUUGGUGGGGUAAAGGCCUACCAAGGCGACGAUCUGUAGCGGGUCUGAGAGGAUGAUCCGCCACACUGGGACUGAGACACGGCCCAGACUCCUACGGGAGGCAGCAGUGGGGAAUAUUGGACAAUGGGCGAAAGCCUGAUCCAGCCAUGCCGCGUGUGUGAAGAAGGCCUUUUGGUUGUAAAGCACUUUAAGCGAGGAGGAGGCUACUUGGAUUAAUACUCUAGGAUAGUGGACGUUACUCGCAGAAUAAGCACCGGCUAACUCUGUGCCAGCAGCCGCGGUAAUACAGAGGGUGCGAGCGUUAAUCGGAUUUACUGGGCGUAAAGCGUGCGUAGGCGGCUUCUUAAGUCGGAUGUGAAAUCCCUGAGCUUAACUUAGGAAUUGCAUUCGAUACUGGGAAGCUAGAGUAUGGGAGAGGAUGGUAGAAUUCC
RNAcentral lists this ribosomal RNA (638 nucleotides) under gamma proteobacterium TH-G58. RNAcentral's name for it is "bacterial SSU rRNA". It matches the Rfam family "Bacterial small subunit ribosomal RNA", at positions 38 to 670 of the family's 1533-position model. The record is from RNAcentral. Lineage: Bacteria; Pseudomonadati; Pseudomonadota; Gammaproteobacteria.